This is a long non-coding RNA of Acanthochromis polyacanthus (spiny chromis), 352 nucleotides long. RefSeq lists it as uncharacterized. Lineage: Eukaryota; Metazoa; Chordata; Actinopteri; Pomacentridae. The transcript has 3 exons. The record is from RefSeq and is a predicted model, not a curated record.
ACAUCCACAUUUACUUACUCAUCGAUCAAAUGGAGCGGUAGGAACCAGGAAGGAGCAGGGACAACUGCUGGUGAGGAGGUGGAGCAAGUGAAUAGCUACCUGUCUCGUUGUGCCCUGACGACAAAGUACAUGUCGAAAGCAGCACGAGUGGACAUGCUUACAUUGCAUGCUCUGGGGUGGAACCACAAAAAAAGGACCUUUUUACAUCAGGCCCUUUCUACAAGAUAUGUAAAGACCUGUCAAAGACUGCUAGAUGAGACUGUAAGGCUAGCUGAGCUGAAAGCAGAGCUACAGUGCACUGACGAAAUGGCAUCACAGUGGAUGUCCGAGGUGACUGAAUGGGCAGCUGACA